RNAcentral lists this ribosomal RNA (115 nucleotides) under Macrorhamphosodes uradoi (trumpetsnout). Its description in RNAcentral is "partial 16S ribosomal RNA". Lineage: Eukaryota; Metazoa; Chordata; Actinopteri; Tetraodontiformes; Triacanthodidae. The record is from RNAcentral.
CGCCCAACAGCUAGCCCCUCAAACCAAAAACAACAAACCCCUAUUAAUAACCCCUAAUAUAUUUAAAACUACCAAACCAAACCAUUUUUCCACCCUAGUAUAGGAGAUAGAAAAG